RNAcentral lists this ribosomal RNA (775 nucleotides) under uncultured Neocallimastigales. RNAcentral's name for it is "partial large subunit ribosomal RNA". It matches the Rfam family "Eukaryotic large subunit ribosomal RNA", at positions 20 to 633 of the family's 3401-position model. Lineage: Eukaryota; Fungi; Neocallimastigomycota; Neocallimastigomycetes; Neocallimastigales. The record is from RNAcentral.
UACUAGAGUAGCACUCGCAUAUCAAUAAGCGGAGGAAAAGAAACUAACAAGGAUUCCCCUAGUAACGGCGAGUGAAGCGGGAAGAGCUCAAAUUUGAAAUCUUAAAGGGUUUCCCUUUACGAAUUGUAGUUUAAAGAAGUGUUUUCUGUUGAGGUUUUGGUAAAAGUUCUUUGGAAUAGGACAUCAUAGAGGGUGAGAAUCCCGUAUUUGACCUUUACUUUCAACUUUGUGAUACACUUUCAAAGAGUCGGAUUGUUUGGGAAUGCAGUCCAAAAUGGGUGGUAAAUUUCAUCUAAAGCUAAAUAUUGGCGAGAGACCGAUAGCGAACAAGUACCGUGAGGGAAAGAUGAAAAGAACUUUGAAAAGAGAGUUAAACAGUACGUGAAAUUGUCAAAAGGGAAGCGUUUGACACCAGUGUUGUUUUUCUGAAAAUCAAUUAAAGAACUGUUUAUGCUAAGUUGUUUAGACUUUAUCAGCUAACUGUUUAGUUUUGAGCUUUUCUUUAAUGCACUUUUCAGUUAACAAGUCAACAUCAAUUUCUUUUGCUGUAAAAAAGCUUGAGGAAGGUGGCUUGAGAUUCGUCUUAAGUGUUUAUAGCCUCUUGCCUAUGCAGUCGGAGAGAUUGAGGUCUGCAGCGUAGAUCCUUCGGGGCUAAAUAGCAUUUGUGCUAAGUUAUAGCAUUUUAUAGACAACUUGUUGACUAUGAUUUGUCUUGUAGCUUACUCGCUUAUGUUAUUUUACCUACGCUUAGGAUGUUGAAGACUCUACAGAGAUA